UGGUUCUGGCAUCGAUGAAGAACGCAGCGAAAUGCGAUAAGUAAUGUGAAUUGCAGAAUUCAGUGAAUCAUCGAAUCUUUGAACGCACAUUGCGCCCGCCAGUAUUCUGGCGGGCAUGCCUGUUCGAGCGUCAUUUCAACCCUCAGGCUAUCUCUAGCCUGGCGUUGGGGCUUUUUCUCCCGCAAGGGAGGCCCCUAAAACCAUUGGCGGACCCUCCGCGGCUCCGAGCGCAGUAGCAAUAUCUCGCUUUGGACGUCUCGGGGGCAGUCUAGCCGCUAAACUCUUGCUCCGGCAAUACCAAGGUUGACCUCGGAUCAGGUAGGAAUACCCGCUGA
This 335-nucleotide unclassified non-coding RNA is filed under the name uncultured fungus. RNAcentral's name for it is "partial contains 5.8S ribosomal RNA and internal transcribed spacer 2". The stretch from base 1 to 133 matches the Rfam family "5.8S ribosomal RNA", at positions 22 to 154 of the family's 154-position model. Lineage: Eukaryota; Fungi. The record is from RNAcentral.